AGGAGGGAGGGAGGAAGAGGCGCAGCGGCAGCAGGGAGCAGCCGGAGAAGAGCAGAGAAGGAAUCGCGGGGCCCUGGCGCUGCCUGAAGUCGCCGCAGCCCCGGGAGCAUCGCCCCCCAUCCCGCAGCCCCCACGUGUGGGAUCAUCGCCCCCCAUCCCGCAGGAUUCCCCAUUCCCAGCCCCUGGGAGGCUGCGAGGAAGAGGAAGAUCCUCUCCUUGUCCUUCCUCCCCCAGAGCAGGAGCUGAGG
Vidua macroura (Pin-tailed whydah) is the source of this 248-nucleotide long non-coding RNA. RefSeq lists it as uncharacterized. The transcript is spliced from 3 exons. Lineage: Eukaryota; Metazoa; Chordata; Aves; Passeriformes; Viduidae. The record is from RefSeq and is a predicted model, not a curated record.